This 624-nucleotide long non-coding RNA is filed under the name Helianthus annuus (common sunflower). Its description in RNAcentral is "hypothetical non coding rna". Lineage: Eukaryota; Viridiplantae; Streptophyta; Magnoliopsida; Asterales; Asteraceae. The record is from RNAcentral.
AGUACGUGUGUGGGGUUCUGCUCGAACAAACAAGGGCCAAGGGGGGAACCCUAGCUUCAUCCAAUUCACAAGAAAAACUAUAGAGAUUCAAAGAAAUUGAAAGCAUAAUCAGGAAAUUGCAAGCUCUUAACUUGUUCAUUGAAAGGGCGUGAAGGAGGAGGGCUCGAGUGCUAAGAAAUCGGAAGGAUCACAGGAUCGAGGUAAAUCCUCACUUUAGGCGAUUUGGAGAAUCGGAGCGAGCACGUGUCCAUGUCAUGCGUGAAGGAGGAGGGCUCGAGUGCUAAGAAAUCGGAAGGAUCACAGGAUCGAGGUAAAUCCUCACUUUAGGCGAUUUGGAGAAUCGGAGCGAGCACGUGUCCAUGUCAUGUUAUACCAAACGCUUCCGCUAGCUUAUUCUCAUCUUUUUGGUCUAUGACUCGUUAUUUUGUCCAACUUUGUUAGUAGUCGUACAUUUGUAAAACUUGUCGUCUUUGCUUUUGGUAGUUUUAUGUCAAACAGAUCGUAGAAUGUUAUUUAGUGGAUUAGUUUAAAAACAGGGGGUAUGUUCGUUUUACGAACGGGUCAUGCCCAAUUUUUGUAAAAAAAUAAAUUAAUUAAUUAUGUAUCAAAGUUGGUACUUUUGAU